AGAGCAUACGGCGGAUGCCUUGGCGAUAUCUGCCGACGAAGGACGCGACAAGCUGCGAUAAGUCACGGGGAGGUGCAAAUGACCGUUGAUCCGUGAAUUUCCGAAUGGAGCAAUCCGGCUGUGGUUAUGCACAGUCACCCAUGCCACUGAGUAUGGGAGGGAACCGGGCGAACUGAAACAUCUAAGUAGCCCGAGGAGAAGAAAUCAAACGAGAUACCCCAAGUAGCGGCGAGCGAACGGGGCAGAAGCCCAAACCGGAGAAGGAAACUUUUCCGGGGUUGAGGACCGUCAGACGAUAAGGAAGCCCAGCCGAAUCCCCUGGGAAGGGGAGCCGGAGAAUGUGAAAGCCAUGUAGGCGAAGGGCGGAUAAGGACAGACGGCACCAGAGUACCGCGGGACACGAGAAACCCCGUGGGAAGCCGGGGGGACCACCCUCCAAGGCAAAACACAGAUAUCGACCGAUAGCGCAUAGUACCAUGAGGGAAAGGUGAAAAGCACCCCGGGAGGGGAAUGAAAGAGAACCUGAAACCGUAUGUUUACAAGCAGUCGGAGACCGUAUAUAUACCAGGUCGACGGCGUGCCUAUUGAAGAAUGAACCGGCGAGUUAUGAGGUCCAGCAAGGUUAAGCAGGAAAUGCGGAGCCGAAGCGAAAGCGAGUCUUAAUAGGGCGGUAAGUUGGAUUGCAUAGACCCGAAACCACAGUGAUCUACCCAUGUCCAGGCUGAAACACAGGUAAAAAUGUGCGGAGGGCCGAACCUAUAUCCGUUGAAAAGGGUUAGGAUGAGGUGUGGGUAGGGGUGAAAUUCCAAUCGAACGUGGAGAUAGCUGGUUCUCCCCGAAAUAGCUUUAGGGCUAGCCUCGAGGAGAGAUUGCAGGCGGUAGAGCACUGAUCAGGAGAGGGACCUACCCGGUUACCAAACCCAGUCAAACUGCGAAUGGCUGCAAUUAUACUCGGGAGUCAGACUACGACUUAUAAGGGCCGUGGUCAAAAGGGAAACAGCCCAGAUCAUCAGCUAAGGUCCCAAAUGCCGUGCUAAGUGGCGAAGGAUGUGGCGUUUCAUAAACAACCAGGAUGUUGGCUCAGAAGCAGCCACCAUUUAAAGAGUGCGUAAUAGCUCACUGGUCGAGAGACGCUGCGCCGAAAAUGUCCGGGGCUCAAGCACGGAACCGAAGCUAUGGCAUGACAGUAAUGUCAUGGGUAGGGGAGCGUUCUUAUAGGGAAGAAGCAUUACCGUAAGGAGAUGUGGACAUAUAAGAAGUGAGAAUGCCGGUAUGAGUAUCGAAAAGAAAGGUGAGAAUCCUUUCCACCGAAAGCCCGAGGGUUCCUGAGCAACGAUCGUCGACUCAGGGUAAGUCGGGACCUAAGCCGAGGCGGAGACGCAUAGGCGAUGGACAACAGGUUGAAAUUCCUGUACCGGAUGGAGUCAUUUGAGCGAAGGAGCGACGCAGGAGGGCACAUGAUCGCGCGGCUGGAAGAGCGCGUCCAAGUGCGUAUGCGUAGAGGGAGGCAAAUCCCCCUUUACAGAAGCAGAGACAUGAUGGGGAGUUAAAGGAGACUUUGACGAACUCAUGGAUCCCACACUGCCAAGAAAAACUUCUAGCGAGACGAAAUCCGCCCGUACCGUAAACCGACACAGGUAGGCGGGGAGAGAAUCCUAAGGUGCGCGGGAAAACCCUCGUUAAGGAACUCGGCAAAUUGCAUCCGUAACUUCGGGAGAAGGAUGACCCUGAGUAGGCGAAAGGGAGAAACCCCCGGAACAGAAAAGGGUGGCAGAAAAGAGGCCCAAGCAACUGUUUACCAAAAACACAGGUGCCUGCGAAAGCGAAAGCUGAAGUAUAGGUGCUGACGCCUGCCCGGUGCUGGAAGGUUAAGGAGAGAGGUCAGCGAAAGCGAAGCUUUGAACUGAAGCCCCAGUGAACGGCGGCCGUAACUAUAACGGUCCUAAGGUAGCGAAAUUCCUUGUCGGGUAAGUUCCGACCCGCAUGAAAGGCGUAAUGAUUUGGGCACUGUCUCAACGAGGGGCCCGGUGAAAUUGAAAUACCUGUGAAGAUGCAGGUUACCCGCGACUGGACAGAAAGACCCCAUGGAGCUUCACUGCAGCUUGAGAUUGAAUCCCGGUGACAUAUGCACAGGAUAGGUGGGAGGCUAAGAAGUAAUGCCUUUGGGUGUUACAGAGCCGAUGUUGGGAUACCACCCUUAUGUUGCUGAGAUUCUAACACGGAGACUAACAACCUCGUGGACCAUCUCAGGCAGGCGGUUUGACUGGGGCGGUCGCCUCCUAAAAUGUAACGGAGG
Molecule: ribosomal RNA, 2296 nt
Filed under: human gut metagenome
Description: bacterial LSU rRNA
Rfam family: Bacterial large subunit ribosomal RNA
Source: RNAcentral